GCUCUUUUGUUAGGGACGAUGAUGACGGUACCUAACGAAUAAGCUCCGGCUAACUUCGUGCCAGCAGCCGCGGUAAUACGAAGGGAGCUAGCGUUGUUCGGAAUUACUGGGCGUAAAGGGCGCGUAGGCGGCUUGAUAAGUUUGAUGUGAAAGCCCUGGGCUUAACCUAGGAAUAGCAUUGAAUACUGUCAGGCUAGAGGCCGAGAGAGGGAAAUGGAAUUGCGAGUGUAGAGGUGAAAUUCGUAGAUAUUCGCAAGAACACCAGUGGCGAAGGCGAUUUCCUGGCUCGGUACUGACGCUAAGGCGCGAAAGCGUGGGGAGCAAACAGGAUUAGAUACCCUGGUAGUCCACGCUGU
This 356-nucleotide ribosomal RNA is filed under the name uncultured Alphaproteobacteria bacterium. RNAcentral describes it as "bacterial SSU rRNA". It matches the Rfam family "Bacterial small subunit ribosomal RNA", at positions 430 to 803 of the family's 1533-position model. The record is from RNAcentral. Lineage: Bacteria; Pseudomonadati; Pseudomonadota; Alphaproteobacteria.